AUGAACGCUGGCGGCGUGCCUAAUACAUGCAAGUCGAGCGAACGGACGAGAAGCUUGCUUCUCUGAUGUUAGCGGCGGACGGGUGAGUAACACGUGGAUAACCUACCUAUAAGACUGGGAUAACUUCGGGAAACCGGAGCUAAUACCGGAUAAUAUUUUGAACCGCAUGGUUCAAAAGUGAAAGACGGUCUUGCUGUCACUUAUAGAUGGAUCCGCGCUGCAUUAGCUAGUUGGUAAGGUAACGGCUUACCAAGGCAACGAUGCAUAGCCGACCUGAGAGGGUGAUCGGCCACACUGGAACUGAGACACGGUCCAGACUCCUACGGGAGGCAGCAGUAGGGAAUCUUCCGCAAUGGGCGAAAGCCUGACGGAGCAACGUCGCGUGAGUGAUGAAGGUCUUCGGAUCGUAAAACUCUGUUAUUAGGGAAGAACAUAUGUGUAAGUAACUGUGCACAUCUUGACGGUACCUAAUCAGAAAGCCACGGCUAACUACGUG
This 496-nucleotide ribosomal RNA is filed under the name uncultured bacterium. RNAcentral describes it as "partial 16S ribosomal RNA". It matches the Rfam family "Bacterial small subunit ribosomal RNA", at positions 29 to 507 of the family's 1533-position model. The record is from RNAcentral.